This 855-nucleotide ribosomal RNA is filed under the name Petasina unidentata. RNAcentral describes it as "partial 16S ribosomal RNA". Lineage: Eukaryota; Metazoa; Mollusca; Gastropoda; Stylommatophora; Hygromiidae. The record is from RNAcentral.
AUUAUCUAAAUUUAAAUAAUAUUACUUUUAACGAAGUCUUGUGAGCUAAAUAUAUAUUAAAUAUAGAAUAUUUGAAUUUAAUGUAGCAUAAUUAAAAAACAAUAAAUAUUUAGGGGUGAAAGGCUUUUCAAACUAGACGAUAUCUUGAUUUUUGGGAAAUAUAUAAAGUAUAUAAGACAAACUAAUAAUGUUAAGGUUUUUAGUUUCUCAUUAUUUAAAUAUAAAUAUUUUGUUGAUUAUAUAAUAAUUACAACACAUGUCAGUAUAAUAUUGCUUAUUAUAAUAAUAUGGAACAUACCUUAAAAUUACAUUUAAUAAUAGAUGUAAUAUAUAAUGAUAUUAUAAGUAGUUAUAUUAAAUUAUAUUUAGGAACUCGGCAAAUUUUUACUCAACUGUUUAUCAAAAACAUGCCCUAAGUAAUUUUUUAGGGUUACCCCUGCUCAAUGAAGUUUAAAUAGCCGCAGUACUGUGACUGUGCAAAGGUAGCAUAAUCAGUUGGCUUAUAAUUGAAGUCUAGUAUGAAAGGGUUUUUGGGUAAUAUCUGUCUUUAUUUAAUUUUUAUUAAUUUUUUUAGUAAGUGAAAAUACUUACAGUAUAGUUAAAAGACGAGAAGACCCUAGAAAUUUUAUAUAACCUUUACUAUAUCUAUUUUGUUGGGGCGACAAAGUAACAUAUAACUUACUUUAAUAAACAAGUAACUAUUUACGAGAGAGAUUAAAUUACUCUAGGGAUAACAGCAUUAUUUAUUAAUAAGUUUGUGACCUCGAUGUUGGACUAGGAAAAAAUAUAUUUAGAAGAUAUAUUUAUAGGCUCUGUUCGAGCCAUUAUCUCCUACAUGAUCUGAGUUCAGACCGG